CUGGCGGUGCGCCUUAUGCUGCAAGUCGAGCGAAGCUUUUGAGUAGUUUACUACAGAAAAUGACUGAGCGGCGAACGGGUGAGAAACGCGUGAGCAAUCUACCUUAGUUACAGGGAUAGCCCGAGGAAACUCGGAUUAAUACCUGAUAUUCUUUUUACCUCGCAUGAGAUUUUAAGGAAAGGUCAGCCGAACUAAGAUGAGCUCGCGUUCUAUCAGCUAGUUGGUGAGGUAAUAGCUCACCAAGGCUACGACGGAUAGCUGGUCUGAGAGGACGAUCAGCCACACUGGGACUGAGACACGGCCCAGACUCCUACGGGAGGCUGCAGCAGGGAAUAUUGCGCAAUGAGCGAAAGCUUGACGCAGCGACACCGCGUGUGGGAUGACGGAUCUAGGUUUGUAAACCACUUUCAGGAGGGAAGAAAAUGACGGUACCUCCACAAGAAGCCCCGGCCAACUACGUGCCAGCAGCCGCGGUAAUACGUAGGGGCGAGCGUUGUCCGGAUUUAUUGGGCGUAAAGAGCUCGUAGGCGGUUCAACAAGUCGGUCGUGAAAGUUAAGGCUACCCCUGAAUGUCGAUCGAUACUGUUGUGACUAGGAUACGGUA
This 604-nucleotide ribosomal RNA is filed under the name uncultured Alphaproteobacteria bacterium. RNAcentral's name for it is "bacterial SSU rRNA". It matches the Rfam family "Bacterial small subunit ribosomal RNA", at positions 36 to 653 of the family's 1533-position model. The record is from RNAcentral. Lineage: Bacteria; Pseudomonadati; Pseudomonadota; Alphaproteobacteria.